Molecule: long non-coding RNA, 495 nt
Filed under: Anas platyrhynchos platyrhynchos (common mallard)
Lineage: Eukaryota; Metazoa; Chordata; Aves; Anseriformes; Anatidae
Description: lncRNA (ENSAPLG00000026292.1)
Source: RNAcentral
CAGAGAUUCAGAUCUGAUGGGUGGGAUGUAUUCCUGUGCAACAUCAGUCUGUUACCCACUGACGAAAGUACUCUCCUGGCUGAUGGAAGUCUUUAAAGAACAACUGAACAUGUUUUUUUUUCUGCACAAAUGCUUUGACCAUUAAGCACUUGGAUGAUCUUUGACAUUACAAAAUAAAUUGCUCCUGCAUGAAGGAAGAUGCAGAAAUAUCAGAGACCCAGGCAUCUUGGUCUGCAUUCAGGGGAAAGCUCUGGUGCUACACUGAAAAUUCAUAGACUACUUGUUGCAUGGCUGGCAAACUGGGAUACAUGGCCUCGAGCAGGGACUAAGCUCCCUGCAAGCUCCUGGUGACCUCUUCUGUUUGAAAUGAGGCAAACACCACAGAUGGUGGAGUGGCAUUUCAGCCUGCAAUGGGAAUUCUUCUUCAGAGUUUGCCUCAGCACCUCUUGUUUAAUGCAUUUUUUAAUUUUUUUUCUUCACUUUUAAUAUUGCCAG